This is a long non-coding RNA of Hypanus sabinus (Atlantic stingray), 680 nucleotides long. RefSeq lists it as uncharacterized. The transcript has 3 exons. The record is from RefSeq and is a predicted model, not a curated record. Lineage: Eukaryota; Metazoa; Chordata; Chondrichthyes; Myliobatiformes; Dasyatidae.
GCUGCAAUUUCUCUGAGUUGAGGAGCGACCAAUCAGCAAGAAGGAUUCAUUAGAAAGGGCCGAUGAGAAUAAUUCAAGAUCUCUCAAAAUGUUUGAGGCAUGCUUCCUGUGGGACAUGUUUCAUUGACAUAACCUGUACAUUGGAAACAUUCAUUGGACCUGAUGCUACAAAGUGUUUUUUCCUUGAAGCACAGCACGAAAAUGUUUUGUAACAUCAGAAGGAUCAUUAACUGAAGAGACUGUUGGAGCCAGUGACAUUCAGUUUGGUGUUCGAUCGAGUGAUCUAGCGCUUCGACGUCCCCAAAGCGGACUGCAAACAAGGGCUGCCCCGUGCAGAAGACCAGAGAUUGGGUGCAGGAUCAUUUCAAAGCAUUGAGAAAAAUUGAAUGUAGACGAGGUCAGUGGGCGCUCUCCACAGAGAUCACGGGUUGACGGUGGUUGGCAGCUGGGUCGGCGGUGUUCGGAAGGACUGAGUUUGAGCGGUCACUCUCCUCGGAUCUGGUGGGAGGAUGUUUUUUGAAGUUCUGAAACAUGUGAUUAUUAGACUGUAGCUUAUAAAGCUCUCCUUCAGUAUUUUGUGUUUUCUUUCUUGUUGCUGAUUGGUGGGUUUGAGGUCCGAGUGGACAAUGUGCUGGUUUUUGUGCGAGGGAGAGGUUGGGGAUUUGGGAUCUGAUGUUCUU